Molecule: long non-coding RNA, 331 nt
Organism: Passer domesticus (house sparrow)
Lineage: Eukaryota; Metazoa; Chordata; Aves; Passeriformes; Passeridae
Exons: 3
Source: RefSeq, a predicted model, not a curated record
AUCCAGGGAUAUGACCCAAAGCUGGCCCAUUCACCCGCAAAGCCUGGGCUGGACCAUCCAGCUCUUUGUGUCUUCUGGACACAUCAGGCUCUCCUCCCUGGUCCUUGCCAAAGGCAGACCCUAGUGCUGGCAGAGUGAAAUUUGUGAUGGAGAACGGUGUUAAAUUUUAAAAGAAAGUCAUUAACUCCCAGGCCAACCAGCUGAAUGGGCAGUUUGCUGCAGACUCCAACAACACUGCAGGUUAAGACUGGAUCUCUGCUCCCUUGGGACAUUUCUAGAGUGGUUUGGAUUUGGGUUUCCCCCCUCCCCUUGCAGUGCUACCACCAAAGGC